RNAcentral lists this ribosomal RNA (253 nucleotides) under uncultured bacterium. RNAcentral's name for it is "partial 16S ribosomal RNA". It matches the Rfam family "Bacterial small subunit ribosomal RNA", at positions 524 to 776 of the family's 1533-position model. The record is from RNAcentral.
UACGGGGGGGGCAAGCGUUGUUCGGAAUUACUGGGCGUAAAGGGCCAGUAGGCGGCCAACUAAGUCCGACGUGAAAUCCCAAGGCUUAACCUUGGAACUGCGUCGGAUACUGGAUGGCUUGAAUUCGGGAGAGGGAUGCAGAAUUCCAGGUGUAGCGGUGAAAUGCGUAGAUAUCUGGAGGAAUACCGGUGGCGAAGGCGGCAUCCUGGACCGACAUUGACGCUGAGCGGCGAAAGCUAGGGGAGCAAACGGG